This is a long non-coding RNA of Choloepus didactylus (southern two-toed sloth), 950 nucleotides long. RefSeq lists it as uncharacterized. The record is from RefSeq and is a predicted model, not a curated record. NCBI's taxonomy places the organism in Eukaryota, Metazoa, Chordata, Mammalia, Pilosa, Megalonychidae. The transcript is spliced from 3 exons.
AGGGACCCAGCCUAAAAGGACACCUCACGGGAGCACAUCUUGGAAACAGAGGUCUUGGACUUAAAUUCCAGAUCCUCAGAACAAAGGCUAAGAGAAAGCCGAUUGUUUGGGGUGCCUGGUUGCGGGCGACCGAAGGCGAAGUGGAGAACUGGAGUCCGGUAACUGUCUUCCACUGACACCCCUUUCUGCUGAUAGGACAUCCCUAUUCCUGAGACACAAUAUUGAAAUUAGGCCAAUUAACAACCCUACAACGGCCUCAAAGUAUUCAAGUGAAAGGAAGAAUUGCACAUCUCUCACUUUAAAUCAAAAGAAUCAAUUAAGCUUGAUGAGAAAGGGACAUCAAAUGCCAAGACAGGCCAAAAGCUAGGCCUCAUGCACCAGUCAGUCAAGGUGUGAAAGCAAUAGAAAAGUUCUUGAAGGAAAAGAAAAGUGCUACUCCAGUGAACACAUGAAUGAUAAGAAAGUUAAACAGCCUUAUUGCUGAUAAGGAGAAAGUUUUAGUGGUCUGGAUAGAAGCCCAAACCAGCCACAACAUACCUUUAAGCCAAAGCCUAACCAGAGCAAGGCCCUAAUUCUCUUCAAUUAUCUGAAGGCUGCAGAAGAAAAGUUUGAAGCUUGCAGCAGUUGAUUCAUGAGGUUUAAGGAAAGAAGCCAUCCCCAUAACAUAAAAGUACAAGGUGAAGCAGCAAGUGCUAAUGUAAAAGCUGCAGCAAGUUAUCCAGAGGAUCUAGCUGAAAUAACUGAUGAAGGUGGCUAUACAAAACAAGGGUUUCAAUGUAGACCAAAAAGCUUUCUAAUGGAAGAUGCCAUCUAGUACUUUCAGAGCUAGAGAGAAGUCAAUGCCUGGCUUCAAAGCUUCAAAGGACACGCUCUCUUGUAAGGGGUUAAUGCAGCUGGUGACUAAGUUGAAGCCAAUGCUCAUUUACCAUCCUGAAAAUACUAGGACCCUU